RNAcentral lists this ribosomal RNA (439 nucleotides) under uncultured Bacillus sp. RNAcentral describes it as "bacterial SSU rRNA". It matches the Rfam family "Bacterial small subunit ribosomal RNA", at positions 338 to 769 of the family's 1533-position model. Lineage: Bacteria; Bacillati; Bacillota; Bacilli; Caryophanales; Bacillaceae. The record is from RNAcentral.
CCUACGGGGGGCAGCAGUAGGGAAUCUUCGGCAAUGGGCGAAAGCCUGACCGAGCAACGCCGCGUGAGCGAUGAAGGCCUUCGGGUCGUAAAGCUCUGUUGUUAAGGAAGAACAAGUAUGAGAGUAACUGCUCGUACCUUGACGGUACUUAACGAGAAAGCCACGGCUAACUACGUGCCAGCAGCCGCGGUAAUACGUAGGUGGCGAGCGUUAUCCGGAAUUAUUGGGCGUAAAGCGCGCGCAGGCGGUUUCUUAAGUCUGAUGUGAAAGCCCACGGCUCAACCGUGGAGGGUCAUUGGAAACUGGGAAACUUGAGUGCAGAAGAGGAAAGCGGAAUUCCACGUGUAGCGGUGAAAUGCGUAGAGAUGUGGAGGAACACCAGUGGCGAAGGCGGCUUUCUGGUCUGUAACUGACGCUGAGGCGCGAAAGCGUGGGGAGC